Molecule: long non-coding RNA, 1778 nt
Organism: Corvus hawaiiensis (hawaiian crow)
Lineage: Eukaryota; Metazoa; Chordata; Aves; Passeriformes; Corvidae
Exons: 2
Source: RefSeq, a predicted model, not a curated record
CAGGAAGGCGGCUGGCUGCACACUGCCUUCCUUACCCUUCCUUCCCGGGAAGGGUCCUUGGCCGGGCUGGGCUCGGGCAGGAAGGAGGGCAUAAGCCUACGGCCGCGCACCGCGGGGAGAGGGAGCCUGUCCCACUCGGGACGGGAGGGGACGAGGUGGCUCCCCGCUAGUAGCACCCACACUCUCCAAACCAAACUACCCCACAGGACUCCCCGUGCUAUUUAGCUAGGCGAUUUCUUUUAUUCGGUACGACGAAAUAAAUAUUCAUUACGACUGCUGGCUACACCUGAAAUUAUAGCCCUAAUUGCAGAGCUGUUGGCCUGAGUUACCACAUUUGCUGCUUACUCAUCCGUAAGCAAUUGCUCAGCGCCGGGUCCCAGCCGUGGUGGUUCCCUUUGGGGGGCUCGGUGCCCUCCAGUGCUGGGCGGCGCCGAGCCCCGUGGCCGCUCUCCUGGGGCAGAGACAGAUGGCCACGGACGGGGCGUCCCGGACAGCCCCAGCUCUCGCCGUCCGGGAAAAUGUGGGAUGCUAAAGAAAGGAUGUGCAAAUUGUUGAGCAAAUUAGGCCAAUUCGAAAUAAAUAAGCACUGCGGGAAGAGAGCCUGCCACUCCCGGAAAAUAAGUGAAGAGAAACCCGGUACUGUUAUACUGAUGUAAGCCUGGAGUAAUUACGCGGAGGUCAAAGUUGUUGCACACGCUACAAGAAGUUGUGCUCACUCUGUAGUUUGAGAGCGGAUUAUGUUCCCUCUUACGUCGAUGGCACAUAUAUAAAAUUCUGCUUUUUUUUUUUUUCCUAUGCACGUAAGAGGAUAUAAAUAAGGUUUGGUCGUGGUUUUUUUCCGUUGUCAUACUUUAUAUAUAACCUAAUCCUGAAACAAAGUCUCAAAGACCUUCCCAUGAGAUUGACCAGAUGCUGAAACAGAUAGCUAAAAGAAACAAUACCUUGUUGUGGUUAAAAUCUAAAUGCCCCAGCCAAGCUCCUUUUAGGAGCUGUUACAACCCACCCUAGAAGAUAGAGAACUGCAGGGUUUGCAGCAUAAACUUUUUUUACAGAGAUUAUUUUUCUUUAUUCCCAUAAAUGCUAAAAAUUACGUGAUUGGCAUUGACCUUUGAUUCUGUCUUAAGACCAUGGAAGCCACUCUUUUUUUAAGACCUUUUCAGAGACAUAUGAAUGUGAAAGGUAAUUGAAUAUUUUUUUAACUUUAAAAAAGAUGAACACCAGGUUGACAGCUUCUCUACUUGGAUGUUCAUUUAAUCACCAUUUUCUGAUUACAGGAGGUGAACUAUGUUGACAGACUUGCAGAUGAAUAUGCAGCCCGGUAUAUGAAUACAUCUCCCAUCUGCGUGGCAAUGAAACGGCUUCAUAUAACUCAACAAAGGAGACAUUGAUUUAGUAAAGUGAGGAUGUAUCCAUCAGCACUGAGUUGCAGCUGUUCUUAAUGGAUUUGAAAAUAAAAGAGCUAUUUCACCUCUUAGAUUGGCAUAUUAUGAAAUGUUAGUAGUAGUUGCACAUAUCAAAGCACCAGCUACCACCCAAACAUUGUUGUGAAACAUGAAGGCAGCAUCAAGCCAGCCCCCUUGCGAAGCUCCCCAGUGCCAAUCGAAAGCCUAUUUCCCCAGUACGCUCCAAUUUUUCCCCCACAGGUAUUUGCCGUUACUUACUUCACUGCUUUUUUUUCUUUUUUUCCCCUUUCUUUUACAAAAGCAAUAUUUUUGCCCCUGAGACCACGAUCUGUUUCCCAACUGCUUUGUUUUCAAAAUAAACCAGAGAAAACCUGA